CUCGAAUUUAAAAGAGUUAAUUAAUUAAAAAAGUUAAUGUUGAAUAAUUAUUUUAAAUAAUUAAUUUGAAAUGAAAUGUUAAUCGUUUUUAAAUAUAUCUAGUUUUUUUAGAAAAAAAUUUAAUUUUAAAUUUAUUAUUUUUAUAUUAUUUUUUUUUAUUCAAUAAAAUAUAAUAAAAUUAAUUUAAUAAUUAAAAAAAAAAAUUAAAAUUUUUAUAUUAAAAUUAAUUAAUAUUAAAUUUUAUAAUUUAAGGGAUAAGCUUUAAAUUAAAUAUAUAUAUAAUUUUAUGGGGAAAAUUUGAAAGUUAUAUAAUUUAUAUUAUUAAUAAAUUUUAAUUUGUUAUAAAUAAUUUUAAUAAAAAUAAGAUUUAAUUAUUAAAAUUUAUUUUUAGUUUAUAAAAAAAUAAAUUUUAAUUAAGUAAAUUUAAUUAUAAUGAUAAAAUUAGUAUAUAAAUAUAAUUUAUAUAUAUAUAUAUAUAUUAUAUAAUUAAUAUAAAAAAGUAAUUAUUUUAUUAAUUAUUUUAAAAGAAUUCGGCAAAAUUUUAUAUUCACUUGUUUAUCAAAAACAUGUCUUUUUGAAAUUUAAUUUAAAGUCUAAUCUGCCCACUGAUGAUUAAUUAAAGGGCUGCAGUAAUUUGACUGUACAAAGGUAGCAUAAUCAUUAGUCAUUUAAUUGAUGACUUGAAUGAAAGAUUGGAUGAAAUAUAAACUGUUUCUAUAAUAAUUUAUAUAAUUUAAUUUUUUAAUUAAAAAGUUAAAAUAAUUUAAAAAGACGAGAAGACCCUAUAGAGUUUUAUUUAUAUAAUUAAUUAUUGUUAUUUUUAAAAUUAAAAUUUAAAUUAGUUAAUAAAUUUUAUUGGGGUGAUAAAAAAAUUAAAUUAACUUUUUUUUUAAAAAAACAUAAAUAAAUGAAUAAAUGAUCCAUUAAUAAUGAUUAUAAGAAAAAAUUACCUUAGGGAUAACAGCGUAAUUUUUUUUUUUAGUUCAAAUAAAAAAAAAAGUUUGCGACCUCGAUGUUGGAUUAAGAUAAAAUUUAAAUGUAGAAGUUUAAAAUUUUGAUCUGUUCGAUCAUUAAAAUCUUACAUGAUCUGAGUUCAAACCGGUGUAAGCCAGGUUGGUUUCUAUCUUUUAAAUAAUAAAAUAUUUUAGUACGAAAGGAUUAAAUAUUUAAAUUAAAUUUAAUAAAAGAAUUUUAUUAAUUGAA
Molecule: ribosomal RNA, 1203 nt
Filed under: Dasychira tristis
Lineage: Eukaryota; Metazoa; Arthropoda; Insecta; Lepidoptera; Erebidae
Description: 16S ribosomal RNA
Source: RNAcentral